Molecule: ribosomal RNA, 1352 nt
Filed under: uncultured bacterium
Lineage: Bacteria
Description: bacterial SSU rRNA
Rfam family: Bacterial small subunit ribosomal RNA
Source: RNAcentral
AUUGAACGCUGGCGGCAUGCCUUACACAUGCAAGUCGAACGGCAGCACGGAGCUUGCUCUGGUGGCGAGUGGCGAACGGGUGAGUAAUAUAUCGGAACGUACCCUAGAGUGGGGGAUAACGUAGCGAAAGUUACGCUAAUACCGCAUACGAUCUAAGGAUGAAAGUGGGGGAUCGCAAGACCUCAUGCUCGUGGAGCGGCCGAUAUCUGAUUAGCUAGUUGGUAGGGUAAAAGCCUACCAAGGCAUCGAUCAGUAGCUGGUCUGAGAGGACGACCAGCCACACUGGAACUGAGACACGGUCCAGACUCCUACGGGAGGCAGCAGUGGGGAAUUUUGGACAAUGGGCGAAAGCCUGAUCCAGCAAUGCCGCGUGAGUGAAGAAGGCCUUCGGGUUGUAAAGCUCUUUUGUCAGGGAAGAAACGGUGAGAGCUAAUAUCUCUUGCUAAUGACGGUACCUGAAGAAUAAGCACCGGCUAACUACGUGCCAGCAGCCGCGGUAAUACGUAGGGUGCAAGCGUUAAUCGGAAUUACUGGGCGUAAAGCGUGCGCAGGCGGUUUUGUAAGUCUGAUGUGAAAUCCCCGGGCUCAACCUGGGAAUUGCAUUGGAGACUGCAAGGCUAGAAUCUGGCAGAGGGGGGUAGAAUUCCACGUGUAGCAGUGAAAUGCGUAGAUAUGUGGAGGAACACCGAUGGCGAAGGCAGCCCCCUGGGUCAAGAUUGACGCUCAUGCACGAAAGCGUGGGGAGCAAACAGGAUUAGAUACCCUGGUAGUCCACGCCCUAAACGAUGUCUACUAGUUGUCGGGUCUUAAUUGACUUGGUAACGCAGCUAACGCGUGAAGUAGACCGCCUGGGGAGUACGGCCGCAAGAUUAAAACUCAAAGGAAUUGACGGGGACCCGCACAAGCGGUGGAUGAUGUGGAUUAAUUCGAUGCAACGCGAAAAACCUUACCUACCCUUGACAUGGCUGGAAUCCUUGAGAGAUCAGGGAGUGCUCGAAAGAGAGCCAGUACACAGGUGCUGCAUGGCUGUCGUCAGCUCGUGUCGUGAGGUGUUGGGUUAAGUCCCGCAACGAGCGCAACCCUUGUCAUUAGUUGCUACGAAAGGGCACUCUAAUGAGACUGCCGGUGACAAACCGGGGGAAGGUGGGGAUGACGUCAAGUCCUCAUGGCCCUUAUGGGUAGGGCUUCACACGUCAUACAAUGGUACAUACAGAGCGCCGCCAACCCGCGAGGGGGAGCUAAUCGCAGAAAGUGUAUCGUAGUCCGGAUUGUAGUCUGCAACUCGACUGCAUGAAGUUGGAAUCGCUAGUAAUCGCGGAUCAGCAUGUCGCGGUGAAUACGUUCCCGGGUCU